UAAAAGUCUUAUUUUCAUUAA
Molecule: non-coding RNA, 21 nt
Filed under: Caenorhabditis elegans
Lineage: Eukaryota; Metazoa; Nematoda; Chromadorea; Rhabditida; Rhabditidae
Source: RNAcentral